RNAcentral lists this ribosomal RNA (328 nucleotides) under uncultured eukaryote. RNAcentral describes it as "partial 18S ribosomal RNA". It matches the Rfam family "Eukaryotic small subunit ribosomal RNA", at positions 1470 to 1796 of the family's 1831-position model. The record is from RNAcentral.
CCCUUAGACGUUCUGGGCCGCACGCGCGCUACACUGACCAGUGCAACAAGCAUCCGUCCUUGGCCGACAGGCCCGGGCAAUCUUUGAACGCUGGUCGUGAUGGGGAUAGACUUUUGCAAUUUUUGGUCUUCAACGAGGAAUUCCUAGUAAACGCAAGUCAUCAACUUGCAUUGAUUACGUCCCUGCCCUUUGUACACACCGCCCGUCGCACCUACUGAUUGGAUGACUCGGUGAAGAAUCGGGACCGUGAGAACAAUCGAUUCAUUUCGAAUGUACUUGUGGGAACCUUUCUUAACCUCGUUUUCUAGAAGAAGGUGAAGUCGUAACA